UACGUAGGGGGCAAGCGUUGUCCGGAUUUAUUGGGCGUAAAGAGCGUGUAGGCGGCCAUACAGGUCAGCUGUGAAAACUCGAGGCUCAACCUCGAGACGUCGGUUGAAACCGUAUGGCUAGAGUCCGGAAGAGGCGAGUGGAAUUCCUGGUGUAGCGGUGAAAUGCGCAGAUAUCAGGAGGAACACCAAUUGCGAAGGCAGCUCGCUGGGACGUUACUGACGCUGAGACGCGAAAGCGUGGGGAGCAAACAGG
RNAcentral lists this ribosomal RNA (253 nucleotides) under uncultured bacterium. RNAcentral's name for it is "partial 16S ribosomal RNA". It matches the Rfam family "Bacterial small subunit ribosomal RNA", at positions 524 to 776 of the family's 1533-position model. The record is from RNAcentral.